RNAcentral lists this non-coding RNA (88 nucleotides) under Saccharothrix sp. Its description in RNAcentral is "Glycine sequence". It matches the Rfam family "Glycine riboswitch aptamer". From Rfam's summary of the family: This family represents the bacterial glycine riboswitch. Glycine riboswitches usually consist of two metabolite-binding aptamers domains with similar structures in tandem. The record is from RNAcentral. Lineage: Bacteria; Bacillati; Actinomycetota; Actinomycetes; Pseudonocardiales; Pseudonocardiaceae.
CGAUGUCGCGCGGGAGAGUCCCCCAGCGGGGCGCCGAAGGAGCAACUCCUCCCCGGAAUCUCUCAGGCCCAGGUACCGCGCGACGAAG